GCUAAACGCGAAGAACCUUACCAAGGCUUGACAUAUACGAGAACGGGCCAGAAAUGGUCAACUCUUUGGACACUCGUAAACAGGUGGUGCAUGGUUGUCGUCAGCUCGUGUCGUGAGAUGUUGGGUUAAGUCCCGCAACGAGCGCAACCCUCGUUCUAUGUUGCCAGCACGUAAUGGUGGGAACUCAUGGGAUACUGCCGGGGUCAACUCGGAGGAAGGUGGGGAUGACGUCAAAUCAUCAUGCCCCUUAUGUCUUGGGCUUCACGCAUGCUACAAUGGCCGGUACAAAGGGCUGCAAUACCGUAAGGUGGAGCGAAUCCCAAAAAGCCGGUCCCAGUUCGGAUUGAGGUCUGCAACUCGACCUCAUGAAGUCGGAGUCGCUAGUAAUCGCAGAUCAGCAACGCUGCGGUGAAUACGUUCCCGGG
Molecule: ribosomal RNA, 425 nt
Filed under: uncultured bacterium
Lineage: Bacteria
Description: bacterial SSU rRNA
Rfam family: Bacterial small subunit ribosomal RNA
Source: RNAcentral